This 762-nucleotide ribosomal RNA is filed under the name uncultured organism. RNAcentral's name for it is "bacterial SSU rRNA". It matches the Rfam family "Bacterial small subunit ribosomal RNA", at positions 583 to 1336 of the family's 1533-position model. The record is from RNAcentral.
UUAAGCGUCAUGUGAAAUCCCUCGACUCAACCGAGGAACUGCAUGGCGAACUGGUGGGCUUGAGGCAAGUAGGGGCGUGUGGAACUCUUGGUGGAGCGGUGGAAUGCGUAGAUAUCAAGAGGAACGCCGGUGGCGAAGGCGACACGCUGGGCUUGUCCUGACGCUGAGAUGCGAAAGCCAGGGGAGCGAACGGGAUUAGAUACCCCGGUAGUCCUGGCCCUAAACGAUGUCCACUAGGUCGGAGGUUCUCUGACGGAGUUCCGGCCGAAACAAAAGCGUUAAGUGGACCGCCUGGGGAGUACGGUCGCAAGGCUAAAACUCAAAGGAAUUGACGGGGGCUCACACAAGCGGUGGAGCAUGUUGCUUAAUUCGAUGCAACGCGAAGAACCUUAUCCUGGGCUUGACAUGUACGGAUGCCUACUGGGAAACCAGGUCGGUUGCCCUUCGGGGUGAAACGUACACAGGUGCUGCAUGGCUGUCGUCAGCUCGUGUCGUGAGAUGUUGGGUUAAGUCCCGUAACGAGCGAAACCCUUGUCGCUAGUUGCCAGCGGUUCGGCCGGGGACUCUAGCGAGACUGCCGGUGUUAAACCGGAGGAAGGUGGGGAUGACGUCAAGUCCUCAUGGCCUUUAUGCCCAGGGCUGCAAACGUGCUACAAUGACCGGAACAAACCGACGCGAGACCGCGAGGUGGAGCAAAUCGGAAAAAUCCGGCCCCAGUUCGGAUUGCAGUCUGCAACUCGACUGCAUGAAGUUGGAAUCGCU